Molecule: non-coding RNA, 74 nt
Organism: Phrynosoma platyrhinos (Desert horned lizard)
Lineage: Eukaryota; Metazoa; Chordata; Lepidosauria; Squamata; Phrynosomatidae
Source: the annotation of a GenBank genome assembly
AUUUCUAUGGCGUAGUGGUUUGAGUGUCAGAUUACGACUCUGGAGACCAGGGUUCGAUUCCCAACUCAGCCAUG